CCUACGGGAGACAGCAGUGGGGGAUAUUGCACAAUGGGGGAAACCCUGAUGCAGCGACGCCGCGUGUGGGAAGACGGUCCUCUGGAUUGUAAACCACUGUCCCCAGGGACGACGAUUACGGUACCUGGGGAGGAAGCUCCGGCUAACUACGUGCCAGCAGCCGCGGUCAUACGUAGGCAGCGAGCGUUGUCCGGAAUUACUGGGGGAAAAGGGAGCGUAGGCGGGACUGCAAGUUGGGUGUCAAAUCUACCGGCUCAACCGGUAGCCGCACUCAAAACUGCAGUUCUUGAGUGAAGUAGAGGCAGGCGGAAUUCCUAGUGUAGCGGUGAAAUGCGUAGAUAUUAGGAGGAACACCAGUGGCGAAGGCGGCCUGCUGGGCUUUUACUGACGCUGAGGCUCGAAAGUGUGGGGAGCAAACAGGAUUAGAUACCCGGGGAGUC
Molecule: ribosomal RNA, 440 nt
Filed under: uncultured bacterium
Lineage: Bacteria
Description: partial 16S ribosomal RNA
Rfam family: Bacterial small subunit ribosomal RNA
Source: RNAcentral